CUUAUUAGCCUAAAGUUUCUCUAUAAAAUACCACAAAUCAAAUCAUUUUAUCAGAUCAAAUUCAUCCCACCAAUCCACCAAAAAAACAAAAAAGGAAAUUCCAAUGACGAAAGUUCCGCUAUUCUGCUCGUGCCUUGUUAUUUUUCUUGUUCUUGCUACUUCAAUAAGCCUUUCCCAGGGAAAUCAAAGAUUUCUUGAAUGUCUCAAAACCAAUUCAAACCCUUCUCAUCCAAUUUCCUCACUAGUAUAUUCCCCAAACAACUCUUCAUUUCCAUCUGUUUUACAAGCUUACAUAAGAAACCUAAGGUUUAACGAGUCAACAACAAGCAAACCUCUAUUUAUCCUCACUGCUUUACAUGAAUCCCACAUUCAAGCAGCGAUUAUAUGUGCUAAAGCACAAGGUUUACAGAUGAAAAUCCGUAGUGGUGGACAUGAUUAUGAGGGUCUAUCUUAUAUCUCCGAUGUUCCCUUUUUCAUUCUUGACAUGUUCAAUUUCCGGUCUAUAAACGUUAACAUUGACGAUGAAUCUGCAUGGGUUGAAGUGGGUGCAACUCUUGGCGAAGUUUACUAUAGAAUUGCUGAAAAAAGCAAUGUUCAUGGCUUCCCCGCUGGAGUUUGUCCUGAUGAAUCUGGAUGGGUUGAAGUGGGUGCAACUCUUGGCGAAGUUUACUAUAGAAUUGCUGAAAAAAGCAAUGUUCAUGGCUUCCCCGCUGGAGUUUGUCCCACCGUAGGCGUCGGUGGACACAU
This 747-nucleotide long non-coding RNA is filed under the name Nicotiana benthamiana. Its description in RNAcentral is "long non-coding RNA (NBEN_LNC013564)". The record is from RNAcentral. Lineage: Eukaryota; Viridiplantae; Streptophyta; Magnoliopsida; Solanales; Solanaceae.